Molecule: ribosomal RNA, 307 nt
Filed under: Escherichia coli
Lineage: Bacteria; Pseudomonadati; Pseudomonadota; Gammaproteobacteria; Enterobacterales; Enterobacteriaceae
Description: partial 16S ribosomal RNA
Rfam family: Bacterial small subunit ribosomal RNA
Source: RNAcentral
UUAAAUUGAAGAGUUUGAUCAUGGCUCAGAUUGAACGCUGGCGGCAGGCCUAACACAUGCAAGUCGAACGGUAACAGRAAGCAGCUUGCUGCUUUGCUGACGAGUGGCGGACGGGUGAGUAAUGUCUGGGAAACUGCCUGAUGGAGGGGGAUAACUACUGGAAACGGUAGCUAAUACCGCAUAACGUCGCAAGACCAAAGAGGGGGACCUUCGGGCCUCUUGCCAUCGGAUGUGCCCAGAUGGGAUUAGCUAGUAGGUGGGGUAACGGCUCACCUAGGCGACGAUCCCUAGCUGGUCUGAGAGGAUG